RNAcentral lists this unclassified non-coding RNA (387 nucleotides) under fungal sp. Its description in RNAcentral is "partial internal transcribed spacer region". The stretch from base 1 to 46 matches the Rfam family "Eukaryotic small subunit ribosomal RNA", at positions 1786 to 1831 of the family's 1831-position model. The record is from RNAcentral. Lineage: Eukaryota; Fungi.
AAGUCGUAACAAGGUAACCGUAGGUGAACCUGCGGUUGGAUCAUUACUAAAUUUGGUUUUUUAAACCAGCUUCCGAGCCUCACGCUGGUCCUUAGGGGCUGCGUGAUGGGUCAUUCGGAUUCACACCCUUGUGAACUACUGAAACGUUUGUCUGAUGGGUUGCGACCCAUGCAUCAGUGUGAUUCCAUUCCUUUAACGAGGAUUGGAUGAGGAACCCCACCUAGCUAGGAGGUGGGCACUGGUGACUGGAGGUCAUUUUGACCUCCAAGUCGUGACCUGUUGGCCUGGCUUAACCACACCAUAUCUUUUUUUAAUCUGACUUAUCAAACAAUCUCUUUAUUGAGAAACAAUGAGAAACAACUUUAGACAACGGAUCUCUUGGCUCUC